RNAcentral lists this unclassified non-coding RNA (334 nucleotides) under soil metagenome. RNAcentral describes it as "partial contains 5.8S ribosomal RNA, internal transcribed spacer 2, and large subunit ribosomal RNA". The stretch from base 1 to 120 matches the Rfam family "5.8S ribosomal RNA", at positions 35 to 154 of the family's 154-position model. The record is from RNAcentral.
GAUGAAGAACGCAUCGAAAUGCGAUAAGUAAUGUGAAUUGCAGAAUUCAGUGAAUCAUCGAAUCUUUGAACGCACAUUGCGCCCCCCAGUAUUCUGGCGGGCAUGCCUGUUCGAGCGUCAUUUCAACCAUCAAGCCCUGCUUGUGUUGGGGUCCUGCGGCUGCCCGCAGGCCCUGAAAACCAGUGGCGGGCUCGCUAGUCACACCGAGCGCAGUAGCACAUCUCGCUCAGGGCGUGCGGCGGGCUCCAGCCGUUAAAGCACCCACCUUUCGCAAGGUUGACCUCGGAUCAGGUAGGAAUACCCGCUGAACUUAAGCAUAUCAAUAAGCGGAGGA